RNAcentral lists this ribosomal RNA (201 nucleotides) under Escherichia coli. RNAcentral describes it as "partial 16S ribosomal RNA". It matches the Rfam family "Bacterial small subunit ribosomal RNA", at positions 1 to 209 of the family's 1533-position model. The record is from RNAcentral. Lineage: Bacteria; Pseudomonadati; Pseudomonadota; Gammaproteobacteria; Enterobacterales; Enterobacteriaceae.
AAAUUGAAGAGUUUGAUCAUGGCUCAGAUUGAACGCUGGCGGCAGGCCUAACACAUGCAAGUCGAACGGUAACAGAAAGAAGCUUGCUUCUUUGCUGACGAGUGGCGGACGGGUGAGUAAUGUCUGGGAAACUGCCUGAUGGAGGGGGAUAACUACUGGAAACGGUAGCUAAUACCGCAUAACGUCGCAAGACCAAAGAGG